Molecule: long non-coding RNA, 1042 nt
Filed under: Astyanax mexicanus (Mexican tetra)
Lineage: Eukaryota; Metazoa; Chordata; Actinopteri; Characiformes; Acestrorhamphidae
Description: lncRNA (ENSAMXG00005008924.1)
Source: RNAcentral
GACACUUUUUACAUUAUUUAAGGUUUUAUCUGUAUUUUAUAUCAGAUAUCACUGCUGUAGCUACAUACCUCUCUCUUUAGCUUUCUCAUCAGACUGAGGGAGAGAAGCUAACCCGCUAAUCAGCUCUUAAAGUGACUGAGCUGUUUUUAAUUUCAUGUUUCAAAUCACAUCAAGUUUUACUCAUUUUAAGAAAAAAGAAAAUAUAAUAAUUUAACAUGAAGCAGAUUUAUAUAUUAUAAAAUAAAUAUUAAAAACUAUGUUUUGACUGUAUUAGCACAGAGUUCACUAAUGCUAGGCUAGUUAGCAGGGCUGUAUUACCCAUUACUCUGCAUUUCUGAAGAAAAUACAGCUUUAUGAGAGUAAAAGGGUUCAAUAAUGUGUACAGUGACCUCUCAAUCACACAGUCUGGACAGAUCUUCAGUUUCAUACAAGACUACCUUCAGUACAAGUCUGGUAAAGGUGUGUGUUUUGGGUUACAUUUGAUGUAUGUUAGUGUGUACUGUAUGUAGUGAAUUGCUUCAUUUGACCAGCCUCUAAUCUCUUUGAAUAGGAAGAAACCAAAAUACUGGAAACUGAAGGUCAAAUUCCUGUUUCCAAAUCAAGUUUUAAUUCACUGAACAAAUCUGGUUAAAACCGUAUGAACAGUUUGUAGCAUUUGGAUUUCAAUGAUGCACAAAAAGUACUGCACUUGUGCAGAUUUCCUUAUCAAGGAGGGUGUUCCCCUUUAGCAUGUUGAACCUCCUCCACUCGCGGCAGAAGCAGCAAGAUGAUUGGUUCAAAUUGUUGAAAGGUGGAGCUUUAUUAGUAAACAGAUGCCAUGAUGAACCUGUCGAGAAUUUUUAACCAAUGACUUGUUUCCUCACUUAAUAAUGCUGUCUCUACAUGAGUUCUAGAGUUUUCUAAAAAAAUUCCCUGUUUUUUUCUCUCUAUAGAAUCACUUGGUCUGAGUUGCUAUAGUGGCGGGAGCUUCUUUGUCUUCCUCAAGAGCUUCUUCCUCAGUUUUGGGUUUCCUGACCUGAGUGGAGUUCUGUCCAUCAUCCCG